UUGGGAGAUGUAUAGUCCUCUUAUGAGGCUAGUUAUCUUUACUAAGAUAACCCUUAAGGUUAUAUAGUAAAGAUGAUACCAACUACGUUGGCUAAAGUUCUAGAUAGAAGACUGAUUAUGACAAUUUUUUAUCUAAAUGUCUUGACCAAAUUACGUGCCAGCAGYCGCGGUAAUACGUAGAAGACUAGUGUUAUUCAUCUUUAAUAGGUUUAAAGGGUACCUAGACGGCAUUAUUAACCUUAGACAAGGAAAUAUUUUUGCUAGAGUUUUAUACGAGAAGGGGAGAAUUUAUAGAGUAGAGAUAGAAUGUUGUGAUACUAUAAAGACUGACAAGGGCGAAAGCGGCCUUUUAUGUAAAAACUGACGUUGAGGGACGAAGGCUUGGGAAGCAAACAGGAUUAGAUACCCUGGUAGUCCAUGCAGAAAAUGAUGAAUGCCAUAGAUUAGAUACCCAUUUGGUUUAUAAAUGAAAGUGUAAGCAUUCCACCUCAUGAGUAAUGUGGCAACGCAGGAACUGAAAUCAUUAGACCGUUUCUGAGAACAGUAGUGAAGUAUGUUACUUAAUUCGAUAACCCACGAAAAACCUUACCACAACUUGAAUAUACACUCUUAUUAAGGAGUGUUUACAAGCGUUGCACGGUUGUCUUUAGCUAAUGUCGUGAGAUUUUGGUUAGUUCCAUAAAAUUAGCGUAAACCCCGGCUUUAUUUUUAAAUUAAAAUUAUAAUAUAUUAUAAUUAUUGUGAUAAAGUAGUUCAUCAUUAUAUAGAAUAUAACGAUAA
Molecule: ribosomal RNA, 780 nt
Filed under: Lophodermium platyplacum
Lineage: Eukaryota; Fungi; Ascomycota; Leotiomycetes; Rhytismatales; Rhytismataceae
Description: mitochondrial SSU rRNA
Rfam family: Bacterial small subunit ribosomal RNA
Source: RNAcentral